RNAcentral lists this ribosomal RNA (253 nucleotides) under uncultured bacterium. Its description in RNAcentral is "partial 16S ribosomal RNA". It matches the Rfam family "Bacterial small subunit ribosomal RNA", at positions 524 to 776 of the family's 1533-position model. The record is from RNAcentral.
UACGUAGGGGGCAAGCGUUGUCCGGAUUUAUUGGGCGUAAAGAGCGUGUAGGCGGUUUGGUAGGUCCGCUGUGAAAACUCGAGGCUUAACCUCGAGACGUCGAUGGAAACCGUAUGGCUAGAGUCCGGAAGAGGAGAGUGGAAUUCCUGGUGUAGCGGUGAAAUGCGCAGAUAUCAGGAAGAACACCCGUGGCGAAGGCGGCUCUCUGGAACGGUACUGACGCUGAGACGCGAAAGCGUGGGGAGCGAACAGG